RNAcentral lists this ribosomal RNA (484 nucleotides) under uncultured bacterium. RNAcentral describes it as "partial 16S ribosomal RNA". It matches the Rfam family "Bacterial small subunit ribosomal RNA", at positions 30 to 507 of the family's 1533-position model. The record is from RNAcentral.
AUUGAACGCUGGCGGCAGGCCUAACACAUGCAAGUCGAGCGGAUGAAGGGAGCUUGCUCCUGGAUUCAGCGGCGGACGGGUGAGUAAUGCCUAGGAAUCUGCCUGGUAGUGGGGGAUAACGUCCGGAAACGGGCGCUAAUACCGCAUACGUCCUGAGGGAGAAAGUGGGGGAUCUUCGGACCUCACGCUAUCAGAUGAUCCUAGGUCGGAUUAGCUAGUUGGCGGGGUAAAGGCCUACCAAGGCGACGAUCCGUAACUGGUCUGAGAGGAUGAUCAGUCACACUGGAACUGAGACACGGUCCAGACUCCUACGGGAGGCAGCAGUGGGGAAUAUUGGACAAUGGGCGAAAGCCUGAUCCAGCCAUGCCGCGUGUGUGAAGAAGGUCUUCGGAUUGUAAAGCACUUUAAGUUGGGAGGAAGGGCAGUAAGUUAAUACCUUGCUGUUUUGACGUUACCAACAGAAUAAGCACCGGCUAACUUCGUG